RNAcentral lists this ribosomal RNA (579 nucleotides) under Triticum aestivum (bread wheat). RNAcentral's name for it is "partial small subunit ribosomal RNA". The record is from RNAcentral. Lineage: Eukaryota; Viridiplantae; Streptophyta; Magnoliopsida; Poales; Poaceae.
AUGCUGGAACCCACCCGCCUCCUCGUCACCAAGGACAAGGACGACAAGGAGUCGUCUGAACUCAACUCUCUCCAUCCCAUCUGGGUGAGGGAGGAUCAACAAGUGCUCGGCUACCUCCUCAACAACCUCUCCAAAGAAGUGCUGAUCGCGGUGACCACGGUCACCACCACGCACGCCCUCUGGGUGGCGCUUGGCAUGUUUUCUUCUCAAUCUUUGAGCCGUGUAAACAAUAUUCGCACUGCCUUGAUCAAUGCACAGAAGGGCACCCAAUCGGUUGCUGCAUACUACGCUCAUAUGUGUGGCCUUGCCGAUGAACUCGCCGCGGCCGGCAAGCCUAUCCAGGAUGAUGAGCUCACCUCCUACCUGCUGCAUGGGCUAGACAUGGACUACCAGCCUCUCGUCUCCGCCCUCGACGCCCGUGUCACGCCGGUCUCCAUCGACGAGCUGUACUCCAUGCUGAGCAACUUCGAUCAUGAUGUGGCACAGUUUCACAACACCGGCGGUGGCUUCAAGUCUUCGGCCAACGCUGCCACUCGCGGGCGCGGCGGGUACUCCUCGCGCUCUCGCGGUCCUCCCUGA